RNAcentral lists this ribosomal RNA (1491 nucleotides) under metagenome. RNAcentral describes it as "bacterial SSU rRNA". It matches the Rfam family "Bacterial small subunit ribosomal RNA". The record is from RNAcentral.
AGAGUUUGAUCCUGGCUCAGAUUGAACGCUGGCGGCAUGCCUUACACAUGCAAGUCGAACGGCAGCACGGGAGCUUGCUCCUGGUGGCGAGUGGCGAACGGGUGAGUAAUAUAUCGGAACGUACCCUAGAGUGGGGGAUAACGCAGCUAAAGUUGCGCUAAUACCGCAUACGAUCUACGGAUGAAAGUGGGGGAUCGCAAGACCUCAUGCUCAUGGAGCGGCCGAUAUCUGAUUAGCUAGUUGGUAGGGUAAAAGCCUACCAAGGCUUCGAUCAGUAGCUGGUCUGAGAGGACAACCAGCCACACUGGAACUGAGACACGGUCCAGACUCCUACGGGAGGCAGCAGUGGGGAAUUUUGGACAAUGGGCGCAAGCCUGAUCCAGCAAUGCCGCGUGAGUGAAGAAGGCCUUCGGGUUGUAAAGCUCUUUUGUCAGGGAAGAAACGGUGGACUCUAAUACAGAUCACUAAUGACGGUACCUGAAGAAUAAGCACCGGCUAACUACGUGCCAGCAGCCGCGGUAAUACGUAGGGUGCAAGCGUUAAUCGGAAUUACUGGGCGUAAAGCGUGCGCAGGCGGUUGUGCAAGACAGAUGUGAAAUCCCCGGGCUCAACCUGGGAAUUGCAUUUGUGACUGCACGGCUAGAGUGUGUCAGAGGGGGGUAGAAUUUCACGUGUAGCAGUGAAAUGCGUAGAGAUGUGGAGGAAUACCGAUGGCGAAGGCAGCCCCCUGGGAUAACACUGACGCUCAUGCACGAAAGCGUGGGGAGCAAACAGGAUUAGAUACCCUGGUAGUCCACGCCCUAAACGAUGUCUACUAGUUGUUGGGUCUUAAUUGACUUAGUAACGCAGCUAACGCGUGAAGUAGACCGCCUGGGGAGUACGGUCGCAAGAUUAAAACUCAAAGGAAUUGACGGGGACCCGCACAAGCGGUGGAUGAUGUUGAUUAAUUCGAUGCAACGCGAAAAACCUUACCUACCCUUGACAUGUACGGAAUCCCUGAGAGAUUAGGGAGUGCUCGAAAGAGAGCCGUAACACAGGUGCUGCAUGGCUGUCGUCAGCUCGUGUCGUGAGAUGUUGGGUUAAGUCCCGCAACGAGCGCAACCCUUGUCAUUAGUUGCUACGAAAGGGCACUCUAAUGAGACUGCCGGUGACAAACCGGAGGAAGGUGGGGAUGACGUCAAGUCCUCAUGGCCCUUAUGGGUAGGGCUUCACACGUCAUACAAUGGUAUAUACAGAGGGCCGCCAACCCGCGAGGGGGAGCUAAUCCCAGAAAGCGUAUCGUAGUCCGGAUUGUAGUCUGCAACUCGACUACAUGAAGUUGGAAUCGCUAGUAAUCGCGGAUCAGCAUGUCGCGGUGAAUACGUUCCCGGGUCUUGUACACACCGCCCGUCACACCAUGGGAGCGGGUUUCACCAGAAGUAGGUAGCCUAACCGUAAGGAGGGCGCUUACCACGGUGGGAUUCGUGACUGGGGUGAAGUCGUAACAAGGUA